This is an RNA transcript of Triticum aestivum (bread wheat), 5705 nucleotides long. RefSeq lists it as uncharacterized. The transcript has 16 exons. The record is from RefSeq and is a predicted model, not a curated record. NCBI's taxonomy places the organism in Eukaryota, Viridiplantae, Streptophyta, Magnoliopsida, Poales, Poaceae.
UUCACUCGCUCAGAUCCCUCCUAUCCAAGAUCCAGAUGCGCUCACCACCGUCCUGCCGUUCCCCACCGUCGUCCGCAUCCAAGCCGCCCCGCCGUGCUCCCUACCGGACUGUCGAGUCCACCGCAGCCCGUCUCCCAACCGCCGCACCGCCUCCCCUCCGUCCCGCCGUGUCCCCUGCAUCACCACCGCACUGUUGUGUGCCCUGCCGCCCGGCCGUGCCCCACGCUGCACUGCCCUAUCGUGCCCCCUCUUCUUCCCCUCGUAUACCUCCAGCAUGGUCGUGAGUCGUGACGGCGAUGCGCGACCCAUGGUGACCUUGCCACGGCUGGAGUUGAACGACCACCGGAUCUACCCGACAUCGUACCCCCUCCUUCUCUCCCAACAGGAACAUGUUCUUACCGGUGUUCAGGUUCUGAUGGUAAUUCAGGCUCUUGCAUGAAUAAGCUUUUUGAGGUGAUGUUAUGUAGUUUAGGCUACUUGCGAGCCUUUGGCAACUAAAAAAGGAGCGUCUACCAACGAAAUUCCCCCAUCUCCAGUUCCACCUGCUUGUUCACCAUCUCUUGCAGAUUUUCGAAACAAGCCAAGAACCACCAGCUUUAUGUGCUCUGCAACAAACAGAUAUGUUGCUUCCAAAGUAGUUUCAAAGACUUCAACAUAUCCAAACAAGCGGAAUGUUGCAUAUGCUACUAUUGGGAGUACUGAUCCAGAAACUAAGGCUGGUGAUAUUGAGUCAGGUAACAAAUUUCAUGUGUGUGCAUAGAUGAAACUAUUCUGGAUAAUGAGUUAGUAAGGUAAGUUGAAGUUUCUCAUUGGUGAUGCUUUUGCUCCAGGAUACUUAAUUGCCUGGUCUUAAGCUUUUGCAAGUUAAAAGUCUUUCUUCCUAUUUCAAAAUUAUAUUUGUAUAUAUUUAAUCACAUAACUGUAAGGUCCAAUUUUCUUCGGAAAAUGUUUUUGGCAGGGGCGCCAGUCGAACUGUUUCGCCGGACACGCUUUGCACAUUGGACCUCUUUAGAUCCAAAGACACAGGUUGUGCCACGUGUGCCUCCCAUCCAAUUAGGUGCUCCCCCAGUUUUGUUGCAACCGCUCACGAAGGGGGUCAUGAGGGGCUCAUUUCGCGUUAGUCAGAGGAGCAGAGGGACGGUGGAUCUAGCGACCGGAGGGGCGACUCAUCAGCGGCGCCUGAGAUCUGGGACAGGAGGGGUGACGGCGUCGAUUGAAUCCAGGACGGAUCUCGCUUCCCCUAGGACUAAUGGAUCCUUUGGCAGAUGUUGCAGGCACCUCUAAUGAGAAUGAGGGGAAUAUGAAGGUUAAGAAGAAGAAAUAAGAAGAGAGGCAAUCUAUGUGGCUUUAAGUCAAGGUUUAACUCAAAAAGGCUUGGUGAAAUUGGGAAGCAAGUAUUACUGGAAACAUAGAAUCAUAAGGAUGGGACUGUUUGAAAACUUGUUGGACAUGUGGCCUUUUAAGGUGCCCCACGAGCUCAUUGAGUUUGUUGUGAUGAACACGAAUCACAUACUCUUUGAGUUCAAACACAAGAACAAAUCCAUCAUCUUCAGCAAACUCAUGAUGAAAAGGAUUUUUAACGUGCCAUUUGGUGAUAGACUCGUGAAGCUUUUUAAGAAGAGUGAUGAACAUGAUCUUCGCACCAUCUACAAGGAAGGGAACAUGGCUCCAAUCGCCCAUGUUGUCAAGUUGCUCAAUAGUUGUAGCGAUGAAGACGUGGUUAUGAUAAAUAGGACUUGGGCGCCCCUUGCUUUGGCAAUAGUUUUGUGCCCAGGCAUUGGCAAUAUUACGUGAAUCUCGAGUAUGUAGGCAUGUCUUUGGUCCAUGAAUUCGUUUGGGAUGUGCAUUUGUUGGCAUGAGCGAUGAAGGAGGUUGCAAUCUUUCAAGAGAAGAAGAUGAUGCAAGCAAAUACAGAAAAAGCAGUAAAGUUUCAGAUCGCUUCAUGCCUUCCCAUGUUAGCGAUCAUAUACAUGGAUCAUAUUCAUAUCCCGGUCGGCCUCCCAAAUGAGCAUGUAAUUGAUUAUUUCAUGUCGAGGAUAUGUUUUGUUUGUCAAAAGGAUUUUGAUUGGUUGGAUAAUGUUGACAAGAACAAUCUCACUCUUGUCCAACCUUUUUAUGGGAAACACACCCAAGUAAUUUUGCUACAUCUCGUCUAUAUAUUUCUUUUGCCAAUGGAGUAUUAACACUCCUUGUUUUUUUGCUUAAUUUGCAUGUAGCAAUCUUUGCUUUUCCAUUUAGGUUAUGUUAAGCUUUUUAUUUUCGCCACUCAUGUUUUGUUUUUCAAGAUCCGGAGUUUGUGCAACACCCCUAUGCAACACAACUCAUUUGACAGGAAAUUGGUGCUAAAGCAGCCAGUGGGCAGGGAGUUGGCGCUGAAGCACCUAGUGGCCAAGGAAGCCAAAUUUAAGGUGCUGAUGUUCAAGCAAACGAAUCUCAAUCAAGCGAGGCUCAACCAAAUGUUGAUGUUGAACCACAUCUAUCAUCAUCGCUCAACGAUUGGCUGUAGCAAUCAUUCCCUAGCUUGCAAGAUCUAAGGUUACUGCAACUGCCACCGCCCCUCAGGCUCGCCGGCCACGGGCACAGGCAGGCAGAAAGACGCGGGGUGCGUCAACGGCGCGGAGGCCGUGGUAUGGCCGGGCGGCUGGGCAGAGCGCAGCCACAGGCAUGGCCGGCGCGGCCAUGCGGCGGCGGCGGGCGGGCGCGGCGCGAAGGCCGGGCAGCCAGGCGUGGGGUGCGGCGCGCGGCCACGAGUGCGGCUGGCGCGAGGCCUGCCGGGGCAGCCGGACGGCGCGAAGGCCGGGCGCAGCGCGGAGGGUGCGUAGGGCGGAGCGUUGCCGCCGAACGAAGCGCAGAGCAAAGGCUCCGUCAACACGCACACGCAUGGUGUGUUGUGUGCGGGAUCCCGCUGUCAAGCAAGGGCUUGGAUCAUGGUCUAUCCAUGUUGAUGGAUUUCCUUUGUACAGGAGUAUGCAUUGCAUGCAACACAUGCACGACCAGCAUGCUCACUGCGUUCAGCGCCGAUGACGAUGGUACCACGCGCAGGCCGUGGGAGAGGCGUCUCCGCGCGAGCCACCGCUGUCUGGGGAGACAAGCGUGAAUUGGGGAGGCCGGGCGGCCACUUGCGCGGCGCUGCAGGGCACAGGGCGGCCACGGAGCGCGGGCGGGCACGGCCAGAGGCUGCACGGCGCGGAGGCCGGUACAAAUUCAGUUCCAAAUGUUGUACGACAAGCACAUGGGUAUUUUUGCAGCGAAGGUGGAUGACGUAGUAGGCAAGUUUAUACAGUGUUUAAAAGGGAUUGCAGUGCAACCGGAUGGUCGCUCUCCUUCGUGAUGUUGGAGACACCAUCACAGCUACCAAUGAGCCCAACUUUUCCUUUGAAGCACCUAUCAUGGAUGAAUGUCACGGAAAAGAGAAUGAUGUUAAAGCUGCAAAUGCUGGCAUUGGUGCUCAAGCUCAAGCUGAAGGUACAACACCUAGCAUGAACAAGGAUGAAGUCACUGGAUUGAACCUACAAGUUGCAACACAGACUGCUGAAACUCGUGAUCAACAAAGAGUGAGUUUUGAGAUGGAAGGCAACGUCUCAUCUCACAGCCCCCACUCUUCUAUGAUGCACAUAGGAGUGCGACAGCCAGCAUUUGGGAGGACUAGCCAUCAUGCGAGUUGUUCUUAAAGGGCUCUGAAGACUAUGAGUUGAUGCAUGGUAUGGAUGAGCCUACAAUCAAGAAGAGCACCGUCAGCUCCAUCUAUGCAAACAUCCUCGUGUUUCGUGUUUCAGACAACGAUGACAGCCCAAAAAAUCAAAUUGUUGAUGCAAGCAGUGGCCCUAGCACACAUGCCAAGAACACUAGGAAGGAAAGGAUGGCUAAAGUUCCGUCCGUAAAAAUACCAAGGCAAAGAAGCAAAAAGUCGAUGAAGCUGCAACUAUGUAUGAGACGUAUCUUAAGCAUGGUAAACCAUUAAGGAGAUCACCACCCAGUGAACAAGUGACACCUUUUGUCAAGAUAGGUGGUUUUUACAUUGGAUACAAGUAAUUCCUUGUAUGCUUCAAGCCUCGCUGGGAUAUGAACGAUGGGGUUAUGUCACUAUGUAUCGAGAUGAACAACCUCACAUCUCAUGCAGGAAGCAAUAGGGUUGUGAAAAAUACAUGUUCUCAGUCCACGCGGGGAUCCUACUAAAAUUAGACCCAUCAACCUUCCAAACACCAGAUCUCAUGCCCGAGCUUGAAAGGGCCAUCACAAAGUUCAAGGUUCAAAAAUUUGACCUCCUUUUUUUUUCACAAAAGUUCAUGAUCGCCAUUGGAUAGUUCUUUGCGCAAACUUGCUUCACAAGCAGUGGAAUGUAUUUGACUCAAUCCAUUCAAAAGGAAAACAAUCUCCUUUCAAGAAGCAUGCCAAUAACCUGAUCACAAACUUUGCAACUCUCACACAAGCGUGUAGCGAAUUUAAUGUCGAUGUUGGAUCCUUUGCCCGGUUGACCUAGAGGAUUACCCAAAGCAAAAAUAACAUAACUAUGAUGGGAAGGCAGUGAGAGAGUUCAAGCAGUUCAGGAAGCUACCCAAAUGGCUCAUCUCAUCAACCACUUCUGUUCCCAAUCAGGAACCGACUGCUUCGGCUAUUAUGGCAACUCCUAUAGUUCUUGAUGAUAGUAGGGAUAUCCUUUGUUGGAAGCCCACUCCUUCUGGUAAGUGCAAUUCUAAGAGUACAUAUAAGUUGUGUUUACAACAAAUUCAUAAUUUGCAGGCAAAUCAACCAAGACAGGUGAACCAAUCAACCAAAGAUAUUUUGCAGCAGGUCUGGAAGCACAAAUUCAUGGCUCCAAGGGUUAAAACUUUUGCGUGGCGCUUACUUAGGCAUGCUCUCCCAACUGGUCUUAGAGCUGGCAGGUUUUCCUCUCAUAUUUCUUCUACAUGCUCUAGAUGUGAUUCAGAUAAAGAUGAAAUGCAUCUUUUCUUUCUUUGCAACUUUGCUAGAGCCUCUUGGUUCGGGCACCCCGGUAUAUUAGAUCUGAUAUUCUUGCUCUCAAUCAUAAUUCCGUUCUUGAUAUUAUUCAGGUUCUAAUUAACAUGAACCAUCCGUAAGCAUCUAUUCCUAAUAUAUUUACCUUGUGGUGUUUGUGGAAAGCAAGAAAUGGUGUUCUUUUUUGUAGGUAAGUAUCACAUUCCCAUCAGGUUCACCAAGCUGCUCUAGCCAUCGCCUCUGUCCAAGAUAUGCAAGAUCCCCAAGAACACCUAAAUAGGGAGCUGCCUUCUUCGAAGGAGAAGCAAUCUACAACCAUACUCUCUCAAGGGCAAGAACAAGUACAUCAAGGCUCCACCCUCAAAUCUGACUUGGCUAUUUCAGGCUUCAACUUCAGCAAGGUUCUUUUCUCACUAACAAUCUUUCAUUAGCAAAGAUGGCUUCUUCAAGAGAUAUCAAUAACACCAACAUCAGCUGGAGGUGCAGACAACCAAUUAGCGAGUUAUUUCAAAUCUCCCAUUCUCUUAAUGUUGUUUAUCACAUCUCUAGGAAUACCAAUGGAAUUGCUCACAAUUGUGCUCAUCAGGUUCUCAACUCGAGAGUAGAACCUGUCUUUAGUUGUUCACGUUCUUCUCAUGGCAAUGUACCUUUCCCUUUUCUGCAAUCCCUCCUCAAUUUUCAAGUUCAGGGCUAUGUAAUUCAUGCUGUACAUUGUCUAUGAGUUGAAUGAAAUUGUGGCGCUUGAUGGA